RNAcentral lists this ribosomal RNA (440 nucleotides) under uncultured bacterium. Its description in RNAcentral is "partial 16S ribosomal RNA". It matches the Rfam family "Bacterial small subunit ribosomal RNA", at positions 338 to 795 of the family's 1533-position model. The record is from RNAcentral.
CCUACGGGAGGCAGCAGUGGGGGAUAUUGCACAAUGGGGGAAACCCUGAUGCAGCGACGCCGCGUGUGGGAAGACGGUCCUCUGGAUUGUAAACCACUGUCCCCAGGGACGAAGAUGACGGUACCUGGGGAGGAAGCUCCGGCUAACUACGUGCCAGCAGCCGCGGUAAUACGUAGGGAGCGAGCGUUGGCCGGAUUUACUGGGUGAAAAGGGAGCGGAGGCGGGACUGCAAGUUGGGUGUAAAAUCUACCGGCUCAACCGGUUGGCGCACUGAAAACUGCAGUUCUUGAGUGAAGUAGAGGCAGGCGGAAUUCCUAGUGUAGCGGUGAAAUGCGUAGAGAGUAGGAGGAACACCAGUGGCGAAGGCGGCCUGCUGGUCUUUUACUGACGCUGAGGCUCGAAAGUGUGGGGAGCAAACAGGAUUAGAUACCCGGGUAGUC